RNAcentral lists this long non-coding RNA (623 nucleotides) under Monodelphis domestica (gray short-tailed opossum). Its description in RNAcentral is "lncRNA (ENSMODG00000032860.2)". The record is from RNAcentral. Lineage: Eukaryota; Metazoa; Chordata; Mammalia; Didelphimorphia; Didelphidae.
GAAAUGCUAAAUUGGACAGUUUAGAUUAUGAGUGUAAGGAGGUAAAGCUUCAUGAAGGAAGGAAGACUAAAGCUUGACCUUGAUGGAUAUUUAGGAUUUGACUAGAUAGAAGGGGAAAAAGGAGAAAGAACACUACAGAGAGGAAACAACAAUCAUCAAAGACACAGAGCAGGAAGAUCUUUUACUUAACGACUCUAAAAAAUGUUUAUCACCAUCUUUGUCUGCAAAUAAAAGAGAUAAAGAAUGGACCUGGGUCUUCAAAUUCAAGUUAGUGAAAUGUCUUCUAUUAAUUCAGGUACUGGACAAGUAUUUGGGAUACAAAGGAAGACAAAAGAUGGUCCCUGAUCUCAAGGAGCUCAGAGUCUAAUGGAUUGCAGUUUAAUUCCAACUUUCACUGAUAGAUUCACUGGAAGGUCCAUAUACCAAUCCAAUCAUUAUACCCAUCCUAUAUAGUUCUUACAUGUAAUUUCCCUCCAAUAUAAUAUAAAGUCCUGGUAAGGCCUGGAUUCUUUUUUAUUUUUAUCUUUGAAUCAGCAGUGUAGAACACAGUGCCUUAUACAUCAAAGAUGCUUGAUUACAUGCUUGUUGGGAUAGUUUAUAUCACCCAAUUAAUAAUAAAGGGA